GAUCAUGGCUCAGGACGAACGCUGGCGGCGCGCCUAACACAUGCAAGUCGAACGAGCGAGAGAGAGCUUGCUUUCUCAAGCGAGUGGCGAACGGGUGAGUAACGCGUGAGGAACCUGCCUCAAAGAGGGGGACAACAGUUGGAAACGACUGCUAAUACCGCAUAAGCCCACGGCUCGGCAUCGAGCAGGGGGAAGAGGAGCAAUCCGCUUUGAGAUGGCCUCGCGUCCGAUUAG
RNAcentral lists this ribosomal RNA (234 nucleotides) under uncultured bacterium. RNAcentral's name for it is "partial 16S ribosomal RNA". It matches the Rfam family "Bacterial small subunit ribosomal RNA", at positions 15 to 244 of the family's 1533-position model. The record is from RNAcentral.